CCUACGGGAGGCAGCAGUGAGGAAUAUUGGUCAAUGGGCGGAAGCCUGAACCAGCCAAGUAGCGUGCGGGAUGAAGGCCCUACGGGUCGUAAACCGCUUUUGCACGGGGAUAACACCCUCCACUUGUGGAGGUCUGCAGGUACCGUGCGAAUAAGGGCCGGCUAAUUCCGUGCCAGCAGCCGCGGUAAUACGGAAGGCACGAGCGUUAUCCGGAUUCAUUGGGCUUAAAGGGAGCGUAGGCGGGCGUUCAAGUCAGCUGUAAAAUCGCGCGGCUCAACCGCGCCCCGCAGUUGAAACUGGACGCAUUGAGUUCACAACAGGCAGGCGGAAUUCGUGGUGUAGCGGUGAAAUGCAUAGAUAUCACGAGGAACCCCGAUUGCGAAGGCAGCCUGCCGGGGUGCGACUGACGCUGAGGCUCGAAGGUGCGGGUAUCAAACAGGAUUAGAUACCCCAGUAGUC
RNAcentral lists this ribosomal RNA (459 nucleotides) under uncultured bacterium. Its description in RNAcentral is "partial 16S ribosomal RNA". It matches the Rfam family "Bacterial small subunit ribosomal RNA", at positions 338 to 795 of the family's 1533-position model. The record is from RNAcentral.